CUGAAGGCCGCGUUCGGGUCACUUGCGGACUGCAACACCCGAUCUCGCUCCUCGUCCCCCCCGAGAUGGCGGUCGAGGAGGGAGAGCGCGUCACCAUCAG
This 100-nucleotide non-coding RNA is filed under the name unclassified sequences. RNAcentral describes it as "L4-Archaeoglobi ribosomal protein leader". It matches the Rfam family "L4-Archaeoglobi ribosomal protein leades". The record is from RNAcentral.